UUCCGGUUGAUCCCGCCGGACCUGACUGCUAUCGGAUUGAUACUAAGCCAUGNGAGUCAUUGUAGCAAUACAAGGCAGACGGCUCAGUAACACGUAGCCAACCUACCCUAUGGACGGGGAUAACCUCGGGAAACUGAGGAUAAACCCCGAUAGAUCAUUAUGCCUGGAACGGUUUAUGGUUGAAACGAUUCGUCGCCGUAGGAUGGGACUGCGGCCUAUCAGCUUGUUGGUGAGGUAAUGGCCCACCAAGGCUAUUACAGGUACGGGCUCUGAGAGGAGAGGCCCGGAGAUGGAUACUGAGACACGGACCCAGGCCCUAUGGGGCGCAGCAGGCGAGAAACCUUUGCAAUGUGCGCGAGCACGACAAGGUUAAUCCGAGUGUUUCCUGCUAAAGGAAUCUUUUGCUAGUCGUAAAACCACUAGAGAAUAAGGGGUGGGCAAGUUCUGGUGUCAGCCGCCGCGGUAAUACCAGCACCUCAAGUGGUCAGGAGGAUUAUUGGGCCUAAAGCAUCCGUAGCCUGCUCUGUAAGUUUCCGGUUAAAUCCAUUGGCUUAACUAAUGGGCUGCCGGAAAAACUGUAGAGCUAGGGAGUGGGAGAGGUAGACGGUACUCGGUAGGAAGGGGUAAAAUCCUUUGAUCUAUUGAUGACCACCUGUGGCGAAGGCGGUCUACCAGAACACGUCCGACGGUGAGGGAUGAAAGCUGGGGGAGCAAACCGGAUUAGAUACCCGGGUAGUCCCAGCUGUAAACGAUGCAGACUCGGUGA
Molecule: ribosomal RNA, 766 nt
Filed under: uncultured archaeon
Lineage: Archaea
Description: bacterial SSU rRNA
Rfam family: Archaeal small subunit ribosomal RNA
Source: RNAcentral